Molecule: unclassified non-coding RNA, 1370 nt
Filed under: Drosophila yakuba
Lineage: Eukaryota; Metazoa; Arthropoda; Insecta; Diptera; Drosophilidae
Description: GE27677
Source: RNAcentral
AAUCGCUUUUCAGCUGAGCUUCCGUUUCCUCGAAAAAUGUUCUCAAAAAUACACUGCCCAAUAGAAACCGACGAGUUUUGAACUUUGCGGGGAUGUCAGGUCGCUGGAGAGAUGUUUGCACAAAUGUUUCUGAGCACACACACGAAAAUCUUUGCAAUUGAGAUGCAAAUUGAAUUAUUGUUUGAAUUCUGGCUUUGUUUACGCCGCUUGUUCGAUAAACAUCGGGGCGAAAUGCAGUCAGUGAUAUGUUUGCUGUUGUGUUUGUCGUGUGCUUUAGCUUUUUGUAAAUAUAAACAAAGUCCGGGGACGGGGCGGGAGCGGUGAUGUCGCGGCGGCGGUUGGCGCAAAUAAAAGUUAAAAAUAAAAACUUAUAAUUGUCCGACGGCUGUUGUUAUUUUUAUUAUUGUUGCCAUUUAUUUUUGGAAAUAGACGUUGAAUUUGUUUAUAUGGAGUAAAAAUAAAUUAUUGCGCGUAGUGCGAGAGCAGCGGGCCAGCAUAAUUUCUCGCGGCGUUCGAUUUAAGAUUUCUAUCUGUUGUGAAUCGCUAGCGGAAUCGGAUCGUUGGAUCUUUGGCUCGGAAUGAAAAUAUCGAACUCGCAAACGGAUCCCAAACUGAUCUGCCGAAAUCGAAUCGAAUCGAAAUCUCAAAAUCUCGAAAUCCCGAAAACCGAAAAACUGAAGAAGCGGCGCUGCGGACGCGUACAAACGUACUGACGGAUAUGCCGUCGUUGACGUCGUAACGCCAAGUACGCACACACAGAUACGCCCGCACACAACUGCACUGGCAGGCUCUCUCGUAGUCCCACACACAAACAGGCACAGCCACCAACGAACACAAUAUCGCACACACACAUCACACCAGAGAAUGAGAGAGCGGGAGAGAAAGGGAGUGCGCAGUCGCUGACUUUGAGUUCUUACUCACAACGAAAGCAAGACAAAAACUGAAGCCGUGGAAAACAAUACCAAGCAUCCUGGCUGGAGAAAAGGGAAGGGAAUGACUGGUGGGAAAAGCAGACAGGCAAACAGGCAGACACACGGAAAUUGACAACUCGCAGAGCAAUAAAGAAAAGUGUCCCACACACACACUCACACACAGCGGGAGAGAAAACGAGGAAAAGGGAAACCGGAGGGGGUGGCGACGGGCUGAUAAGUUUAUACAAUUUCCACCCACAGAACCUGAGUUAUGCCCCCACAUAACACAAUAUUUCCCUAAUGUCUUUAUUAUGUUCCAUUGAGUGUAAAUAUUUGCCUUGCACCCACACACCCAAACACAAACUUGCGCACGAGUGCGUGUGUGUUUGUUGGCCAGCUUUAUAAUACGAGGCACGUGCUUCAUAAGAAGGUGAAGCAAGCCGAAAAACAAAACAGGUU